This 2921-nucleotide ribosomal RNA is filed under the name Staphylococcus aureus M0179. RNAcentral's name for it is "bacterial LSU rRNA". It matches the Rfam family "Bacterial large subunit ribosomal RNA". The record is from RNAcentral. Lineage: Bacteria; Bacillati; Bacillota; Bacilli; Caryophanales; Staphylococcaceae.
UUAAGUUAUUAAGGGCGCACGGUGGAUGCCUUGGCACUAGAAGCCGAUGAAGGACGUUACUAACGACGAUAUGCUUUGGGGAGCUGUAAGUAAGCUUUGAUCCAGAGAUUUCCGAAUGGGGAAACCCAGCAUGAGUUAUGUCAUGUUAUCGAUAUGUGAAUACAUAGCAUAUCAGAAGGCACACCCGGAGAACUGAAACAUCUUAGUACCCGGAGGAAGAGAAAGAAAAUUCGAUUCCCUUAGUAGCGGCGAGCGAAACGGGAAGAGCCCAAACCAACAAGCUUGCUUGUUGGGGUUGUAGGACACUCUGUACGGAGUUACAAAGGACGACAUUAGACGAAUCAUCUGGAAAGAUGAAUCAAAGAAGGUAAUAAUCCUGUAGUCGAAAAUGUUGUCUCUCUUGAGUGGAUCCUGAGUACGACGGAGCACGUGAAAUUCCGUCGGAAUCUGGGAGGACCAUCUCCUAAGGCUAAAUACUCUCUAGUGACCGAUAGUGAACCAGUACCGUGAGGGAAAGGUGAAAAGCACCCCGGAAGGGGAGUGAAAUAGAACCUGAAACCGUGUGCUUACAAGUAGUCAGAGCCCGUUAAUGGGUGAUGGCGUGCCUUUUGUAGAAUGAACCGGCGAGUUACGAUUUGAUGCAAGGUUAAGCAGUAAAUGUGGAGCCGUAGCGAAAGCGAGUCUGAAUAGGGCGUUUAGUAUUUGGUCGUAGACCCGAAACCAGGUGAUCUACCCUUGGUCAGGUUGAAGUUCAGGUAACACUGAAUGGAGGACCGAACCGACUUACGUUGAAAAGUGAGCGGAUGAACUGAGGGUAGCGGAGAAAUUCCAAUCGAACCUGGAGAUAGCUGGUUCUCUCCGAAAUAGCUUUAGGGCUAGCCUCAAGUGAUGAUUAUUGGAGGUAGAGCACUGUUUGGACGAGGGGCCCCUCUCGGGUUACCGAAUUCAGACAAACUCCGAAUGCCAAUUAAUUUAACUUGGGAGUCAGAACAUGGGUGAUAAGGUCCGUGUUCGAAAGGGAAACAGCCCAGACCACCAGCUAAGGUCCCAAAAUAUAUGUUAAGUGGAAAAGGAUGUGGCGUUGCCCAGACAACUAGGAUGUUGGCUUAGAAGCAGCCAUCAUUUAAAGAGUGCGUAAUAGCUCACUAGUCGAGUGACACUGCGCCGAAAAUGUACCGGGGCUAAACAUAUUACCGAAGCUGUGGAUUGUCCUUUGGACAAUGGUAGGAGAGCGUUCUAAGGGCGUUGAAGCAUGAUCGUAAGGACAUGUGGAGCGCUUAGAAGUGAGAAUGCCGGUGUGAGUAGCGAAAGACGGGUGAGAAUCCCGUCCACCGAUUGACUAAGGUUUCCAGAGGAAGGCUCGUCCGCUCUGGGUUAGUCGGGUCCUAAGCUGAGGCCGACAGGCGUAGGCGAUGGAUAACAGGUUGAUAUUCCUGUACCACCUAUAAUCGUUUUAAUCGAUGGGGGGACGCAGUAGGAUAGGCGAAGCGUGCGAUUGGAUUGCACGUCUAAGCAGUAAGGCUGAGUAUUAGGCAAAUCCGGUACUCGUUAAGGCUGAGCUGUGAUGGGGAGAAGACAUUGUGUCUUCGAGUCGUUGAUUUCACACUGCCGAGAAAAGCCUCUAGAUAGAAAAUAGGUGCCCGUACCGCAAACCGACACAGGUAGUCAAGAUGAGAAUUCUAAGGUGAGCGAGCGAACUCUCGUUAAGGAACUCGGCAAAAUGACCCCGUAACUUCGGGAGAAGGGGUGCUCUUUAGGGUUAACACCCAGAAGAGCCGCAGUGAAUAGGCCCAAGCGACUGUUUAUCAAAAACACAGGUCUCUGCUAAACCGUAAGGUGAUGUAUAGGGGCUGACGCCUGCCCGGUGCUGGAAGGUUAAGAGGAGUGGUUAGCUUCUGCGAAGCUACGAAUCGAAGCCCCAGUAAACGGCGGCCGUAACUAUAACGGUCCUAAGGUAGCGAAAUUCCUUGUCGGGUAAGUUCCGACCCGCACGAAAGGCGUAACGAUUUGGGCACUGUCUCAACGAGAGACUCGGUGAAAUCAUAGUACCUGUGAAGAUGCAGGUUACCCGCGACAGGACGGAAAGACCCCGUGGAGCUUUACUGUAGCCUGAUAUUGAAAUUCGGCACAGCUUGUACAGGAUAGGUAGGAGCCUUUGAAACGUGAGCGCUAGCUUACGUGGAGGCGCUGGUGGGAUACUACCCUAGCUGUGUUGGCUUUCUAACCCGCACCACUUAUCGUGGUGGGAGACAGUGUCAGGCGGGCAGUUUGACUGGGGCGGUCGCCUCCUAAAAGGUAACGGAGGCGCUCAAAGGUUCCCUCAGAAUGGUUGGAAAUCAUUCAUAGAGUGUAAAGGCAUAAGGGAGCUUGACUGCGAGACCUACAAGUCGAGCAGGGUCGAAAGACGGACUUAGUGAUCCGGUGGUUCCGCAUGGAAGGGCCAUCGCUCAACGGAUAAAAGCUACCCCGGGGAUAACAGGCUUAUCUCCCCCAAGAGUUCACAUCGACGGGGAGGUUUGGCACCUCGAUGUCGGCUCAUCGCAUCCUGGGGCUGUAGUCGGUCCCAAGGGUUGGGCUGUUCGCCCAUUAAAGCGGUACGCGAGCUGGGUUCAGAACGUCGUGAGACAGUUCGGUCCCUAUCCGUCGUGGGCGUAGGAAAUUUGAGAGGAGCUGUCCUUAGUACGAGAGGACCGGGAUGGACAUACCUCUGGUGUACCAGUUGUCGUGCCAACGGCAUAGCUGGGUAGCUAUGUGUGGACGGGAUAAGUGCUGAAAGCAUCUAAGCAUGAAGCCCCCCUCAAGAUGAGAUUUCCCAACUUCGGUUAUAAGAUCCCUCAAAGAUGAUGAGGUUAAUAGGUUCGAGGUGGAAGCAUGGUGACAUGUGGAGCUGACGAAUACUAAUCGAUCGAAGACUUAAUCAA